UCCCUGGUGGUCUAGUGGUUAGGAUUCGGCACUUACACUGCUGCGGCCUGGGUUUAAUCCCUGGUCUGGGAA
This is a transfer RNA of Sus scrofa (pig), 72 nucleotides long. It matches the Rfam family "tRNA". From Rfam's summary of the family: Transfer RNA (tRNA) molecules are approximately 80 nucleotides in length. NCBI's taxonomy places the organism in Eukaryota, Metazoa, Chordata, Mammalia, Artiodactyla, Suidae. The record is from Rfam.